UACGGAGGGUGCGAGCGCUAAUCGGAAUUACUGGGCGUAGAGCGCGCGUAGGCAACUUGAUAAGCCGGUUGUGAAAGCCCCGGGCUCAACCUGGGAACGUCAUCCGGAACUGACAGGCUAGAGUGCAGGAGAGGAAGGUAGAAUUCCCGGUGUAGCGGUGAAAUGCGUAGAGAUCGGGAGGAAUACCAGUGGCGAAGGCGGCCUUCUGGACUGACACUGACGCUGAGGUGCGAAAGCGUGGGUAGCAAACAGG
RNAcentral lists this unclassified non-coding RNA (253 nucleotides) under uncultured Halomonadaceae bacterium. RNAcentral's name for it is "contains 16S-23S intergenic spacer region". It matches the Rfam family "Bacterial small subunit ribosomal RNA", at positions 524 to 776 of the family's 1533-position model. Lineage: Bacteria; Pseudomonadati; Pseudomonadota; Gammaproteobacteria; Oceanospirillales; Halomonadaceae. The record is from RNAcentral.